GGCUCCAUAGCUCAGUGGUUAGUCUUGUAUACCAGGGGUCGCGAGUUCAAUUCUCGCUGGGGCCU
Molecule: transfer RNA, 65 nt
Filed under: Astyanax mexicanus (Mexican tetra)
Lineage: Eukaryota; Metazoa; Chordata; Actinopteri; Characiformes; Acestrorhamphidae
Rfam family: tRNA
About the family: Transfer RNA (tRNA) molecules are approximately 80 nucleotides in length.
Source: Rfam by way of RNAcentral